This 1115-nucleotide long non-coding RNA is filed under the name Oryctolagus cuniculus (rabbit). RNAcentral describes it as "lncRNA (ENSOCUG00000033455.1)". The record is from RNAcentral. Lineage: Eukaryota; Metazoa; Chordata; Mammalia; Lagomorpha; Leporidae.
AUGGGAUGCUGGAACUGCAAGCUGCAGCUUUAUCUGCUGUCCACAGCACCAUCCCCCAUUCUGCAUUUUUACAGGGUAUUUUUUUCUCUAUCUGCAGGACACUCCCUAGGACCUUCCAGGAUAACCUCAGGAGGAAGCUGGCACCACGUGCAGUUUACCAAGCCAGACCACAUUAAACGUGUUCUUGUCCCAGUGAAAGGUGAAAGUAACAAUAGUACUGAGGCUACUACAAGAAGGUAAUGUGAGUACUGCACAAAGAAGAGCUGUUUCACAGUGAAGCACAGCUGAGAUGAAGACAUUUUCUAGAGGACAACUUUGCUGUUCCCAGGAGGUGAACACUGUCCAGUGACUGCUAUUACUCUGACACAUGACGGGGAACUGGGUAACGUCUCAUUGUCAACCACAGUGAUGGGAAGGAGCAGGUUAAGAUUCCAUUACAAGGAAGGUAUUUCCAUUAAUGAAAACCUGUUUCACUUUUGGUAGAGUUGGAACCAAAAUUAAGCUAAAUGUACAUACAGUGAUUCCUAUGUGAAUAGAAAGAUUACAUAUACAGGUUUUUUACUUUCAUAUUGGUAAGACCAGUGUACCUAAAAAUACUCAUGAAUUAUUUUUAAAAAUACUUAUUAAAGGAUCUCUUGAUCUUGCUCUUCCUUUAUCUGCUCACUCAGCAAAGGUACCAGGAACUCCAUCCUGGUCUACCACAAGGUGGCAGUGGUCCAAUGAUAGCUUGGGCUGUCCUGCUGCCUUCCCAGGCACAUGGGUAGGAAGUUGAGUUGGAAGCAGAGCAACCAGAUCUCUGAUAUGGGAUGCCAUUGUCAGAAGCAGUGACUUAACGCUCUGUGUCACAAUACCGACCCCUCAUAACCAAAGAUUUUUCACUGGGGUUAGACUAGGGGCUAGUACUACUGAGGAAACAAAUUCAUUGAUACGUGGUAUUUUUGUCAUCUUUUAAAAAGUGACUAGUUUUUCUUUGUCAAUGACAUGUAAGCAUAUUUUUAAUAUAAUUAUUAACAUUUAUUUCUUCAAAAGCAACUCUUACAUACUAAAAAAUAACUUUAUUGGGGUAAACUUGACUAUAAAAUAAAACACAGAUUAGAAGUGUAGGAUGUGAGUUU